Molecule: non-coding RNA, 1151 nt
Organism: Podarcis lilfordi (Lilford's wall lizard)
Lineage: Eukaryota; Metazoa; Chordata; Lepidosauria; Squamata; Lacertidae
Source: the annotation of a GenBank genome assembly
AAAAAAAAGAAAAAUGAAAAUAUGUAAAACAGUUGCUUUUCAUCACAGAUUCCUAAGGUAAGCGGUAAAGAUUCCUGCCUCCCAUCUCUUGCAUUAUUUUUAAAAAAUGAACAAUGUCCAUCAUUUUCUGUUUUUUCUUCAGGUACAAAAAUAUCUAUAACACAAGCACAAGAAAAGGAAUGUAUUCUGCUAGGAAUAGCUAGCUGUGGGACCAGGUAUUAUGUUCAAUGUUACUCAGCUAUUUCCCUUGGAAAUAAUGUUUUGCCCAAAACCUGACGUCGACGUCAAACGCCAGCAAAUUGCCCCCUGCAACGUUUGGCGGUGGAAACCCUGCGUUUCACAGUAGGCGAUAAAAUGAGCCCUCAACCGUGACCAGGGAGAGGAGUCGGUGGAAGAAGAUUGGAAGAAAUUUAAAGAUUAUCUGCAGAAACAUUGCAAAAUUAAAGAAUGUUAGAGUGAUGAUGGAUUGAAAUUAAGUGGCUUCUAGCUGUACAGGCUUUAAAGAUAUAUAUAGAUCAAGAUUAAGGAUUAGGAUUAAAAAAGUUAAAAGAAAUGGAAAAUUGGCUUUUAAUAGGUUAAAAUUUAAGGUUAUAUUAUAUUAAGAUUAAGGUUUGGGAUUAAAAAAGAGGGAAAGAAAUUGCUGGACAAACAAAUUGAACUGGAAUACAAAAGAGGGAGGUAUGAAUUUCUUUUCAAACACAUUUUUAUGAGGUUUUGACUAGUGUACACAUUUUUGCAAGCAGUCCCUCCUAAACUAAUGAAUUUUCUAUGUUAUUUUCACUAAUACGUACUUUUUUAUACACAAUUUCUCCUAUUGUAUACCUUUUGAUAAACACAGUUUGUAAAAUUUGGAUAAGUGCGAAUUCCAAAGGAUAGCUGUUUCAGUUCAUGUAUUGUUUCAAGAAGUGUGAAAUCGUUAUAUUUGCCUUUAAAUAUGAACUGGAUUGCAUCCUUCCCCCAAUCCCCAGGCAUCACUGAAGUAUUUAUUUAUGAAACUAUUGACAUUCCUGUGCAACUUACGCUUCAUUUUAAAGGCUCGCUAGUUAUGCUAAAUAAAAUAUACUAAAAAGGUAAAAAAAAAAAGAAAAAAGAGGGAGGUAUGAGGAGGUCCAGAAAAUAAGUAAAUUUAAAAGUGGUGACGAAAAGGUGGC